This 238-nucleotide long non-coding RNA is filed under the name Mytilus galloprovincialis (Mediterranean mussel). The record is from RNAcentral. Lineage: Eukaryota; Metazoa; Mollusca; Bivalvia; Mytilida; Mytilidae.
AGAAACUUAUUAGUGAUGGCUUUUAAUGUGUGUUUUUUCCUGAUUUGCCAAACACAGUCAAGUUUCUGUUUGACAAUAAGUUGCACCUUGAAUUUUGAGCUGUAAUGUGGGAUAUGUGCGCAUUGCAUUUGUGCCAAUUUUUUUUUUUACAAAAUCCAAUCUUUAAUUUGCGUCAAAAAAUAUAAUCUACAUACUAUAUUGGUGUAUUUGCAUUGAUUUGUAUGUUUUAUUAUCUAAU